This 408-nucleotide ribosomal RNA is filed under the name uncultured cyanobacterium. RNAcentral describes it as "bacterial SSU rRNA". It matches the Rfam family "Bacterial small subunit ribosomal RNA", at positions 362 to 784 of the family's 1533-position model. The record is from RNAcentral. Lineage: Bacteria; Bacillati; Cyanobacteriota.
UUUUCCGCAAUGGGCGAAAGCCUGACGGAGCAAUACCGCGUGAGGGAGGAAGGCUCUUGGGUCGUAAACCUCUUUUCUCAGGGAAGAAAAAAAUGACGGUACCUGAGGAAUAAGCAUCGGCUAACUCCGUGCCAGCAGCCGCGGUAAUACGGAGGAUGCAAGCGUUAUCCGGAAUGAUUGGGCGUAAAGGGUCCGCAGGUGGCGAUGAAAGUCUGCUGUUAAAGAGUCUAGCUCAACUAGAUAAGAGCAGUGGAAACUACAUAGCUAGAGUACGUUCGGGGCAGAGGGAAUUCCUGGUGUAGCGGUGAAAUGCGUAGAGAUCAGGAAGAACACCAGUGGCGAAGGCGCUCUGCUAGGCCGUAACUGACACUGAGGGACGAAAGCUAGGGGAGCGAAUGGGAUUAGAUA